This 408-nucleotide ribosomal RNA is filed under the name uncultured bacterium. RNAcentral's name for it is "partial 16S ribosomal RNA". It matches the Rfam family "Bacterial small subunit ribosomal RNA", at positions 28 to 526 of the family's 1533-position model. The record is from RNAcentral.
GACGAACGCUGGCGGCGUGCUUAACACAUGCAAGUCGAACGAAGUGGCGAACGGGUGAGUAAUACGUGUGUAACCCGCCCCCCUUUUUGGGAUAAGCCUGGGAAACGGGGUCUAAUACCGGAGAAAGGGGGAUGGGCCUGCGGCCUAUCAGCUUGUGGGUGGGGUGAGGGCCCACCAAGGCGGUGACGGGUAGCCGGCCUGAGAGGGUGACCGGCCACAUUGGGACUGAAAAACGGCCCAGACUCCAGCGGGAGGCAGCAGUGGGGGAGAUGGCACAAUGGGCGAAAGCCUGAUGCAGCGACGCCGCGUGGGGAAUAAAGGCUUUCGGGUUGUAAACCUCUUUCGAUAUCGAAUGGGUAGGUGGAGAAGAAGCGCCGGCUAACUACGUGCCAGCAGCCGCGGUAAUAC